RNAcentral lists this ribosomal RNA (520 nucleotides) under uncultured Glomus. Its description in RNAcentral is "SSU rRNA". It matches the Rfam family "Eukaryotic small subunit ribosomal RNA", at positions 569 to 1092 of the family's 1831-position model. Lineage: Eukaryota; Fungi; Glomeromycota; Glomeromycetes; Glomerales; Glomeraceae. The record is from RNAcentral.
CGCAGCCGCGGUAAUUCCAGCUCCAAUAGCGUAUAUUAAAGUUGUUGCAGUUAAAAAGCUCGUAGUUGAAUUUCGGGAUCGAAUUGUUGGUCGUGCUUCGGUACGCACUGGCAUUAUCGGUUUCUACCUUCUGAAGAACCGCGAUGUCAUUAAUUUGGUGUCGUGGGGAAUCAGGACUGUUACUUUGAAAAAAUUAGAGUGUUUAAAGCAGGCUUACGCUUGAAUACAUUAGCAUGGAAUAAUGAAAUAGGACGUUUGAUUCUAUUUUGUUGGUUUCUAGGAUCGACGUAAUGAUUAAUAGGGAUAGUUGGGGGCAUUAGUAUUCAAUUGUCAGAGGUGAAAUUCUUGGAUUUAUUGAAGACUAACUACUGCGAAAGCAUUUGCCAAGGAUGUUUUCAUUAAUCAAGAACGAAAGUUAGGGGAUCGAAGACGAUCAGAUACCGUCGUAGUCUUAACCAUAAACUAUGCCGACUAGGGAUCGGAUGAUGUAAUUUUAUAGUGACUCAUUCGGCGCCUUAAC